This 301-nucleotide ribosomal RNA is filed under the name uncultured bacterium. Its description in RNAcentral is "partial 16S ribosomal RNA". It matches the Rfam family "Bacterial small subunit ribosomal RNA", at positions 509 to 807 of the family's 1533-position model. The record is from RNAcentral.
CAGCAGCCGCGGGAAUACAGAGGGUGCGAGCGUUAAUCGGAUUUACUGGGCGUAAAGCGUGCGUAGGCGGCUUCUUAAGUCGGAUGUGAAAUCCCUGAGCUUAACUUAGGAAUUGCAUUCGAUACUGGGAAGCUAGAGUAUGGGAGAGGAUGGUAGAAUUCCAGGUGUAGCGGUGAAAUGCGUAGAGAUCUGGAGGAAUACCGAUGGCGAAGGCAGCCAUCUGGCCUAAUACUGACGCUGAGGAGCGAAAGCAUGGGGAGCGAACAGGAUUAGAUACCCCUGUAGUCCCUGUCUCUUAUAC